GACGGAUAGCUUGGCUUGAAUAGCGAAGAAGGACGUGGCAAGCUGCGAUAAGCUUGGGCGAGCCGCAUGCGGGCUUUGAACCUAAGAUCUCCUAAUG
Molecule: ribosomal RNA, 97 nt
Filed under: uncultured archaeon
Lineage: Archaea
Description: 5.8S ribosomal RNA (partial)
Rfam family: Archaeal large subunit ribosomal RNA
Source: RNAcentral